This is a long non-coding RNA of Lolium perenne, 1965 nucleotides long. RefSeq lists it as uncharacterized. The record is from RefSeq and is a predicted model, not a curated record. Lineage: Eukaryota; Viridiplantae; Streptophyta; Magnoliopsida; Poales; Poaceae.
CCUCCUCGCACGGUAGUGUCGUGCCUUCAUACCUCAUUCGUUCGCGGACGAAAUGAAAUUCAUCAUACGUGGGCUGGUUUAGUAACGGGCCCGUCAUUACUUCCCCUCAAUUCGCGUAAGGAACCACCAAUCUUUACUAACGCUUCAUCCUUGCCAAUCUCAUCGAUUGAGCUCUCUAUUAAAUCCCCAUAAUUUUCGCGAGAAACAACUGCACAGGAAACUGAUGGAGGACAUACGAGGAGUCCAGACAGAUUCUGCCCCUUUAAAUCUUGUGCUCCACCUCAGCCUAUUUUGAUCGUCUUCCCCCAUCCAACAAUUCGUCCCAAUAGGCCUGCUUCCUAGCCAGCCGCCAGCAAUCCUCCGUCGGCCGGUUAGGAGUUCGUUCAGAUUUCCCCUAUUUAAACUCCGUGCUCCAGCUCGACUCCUCGACCUUGCUCCCGUCGUCCUCCGGUACGGUCCGGCACCAUUCAAGAUCGAUGCCCAACGCCGGCGUUGUGCUGGAGCCAUCCUCCCCUGUGUGCCACGUUCAAGACCUCCGAAAUCUUGGUUGACAGGGGCGGAUCCAGCAUACCUGUUGCCUGGGCACUUGCCCAGGCUUCAGUCUUGGAUUCCUUGGUUAAAAUUGCAUCUUGUCUUGAUAUUUUCUUUGAAUUAGACUUCAGCUUUGCUGUGUGCCCAGGCUUCACAAAAAUCCUAGGUCCGCCUUUGUUGGUUGAGGAACUACGACCUCUACCACUGCCACUUACCAGCAUUAGAACGAUGACCUGAAGCGCACCUCAGGCUAGACAUGUGAAGCGACAACUCCUGGCCAGCAACCAGCGCUCAUGUGAGGCCACCCCUGUUAAUGGUACAUGCCAAUUUUCAUUGGACCUUUGUAAAUUCUAUCCGAGACUUCUUUUUGCUGAGAUUCCUGAGUGAGUAUACCAGGACCACCUACCGCCUGUGGUGGAGGCAAUUUGAAUGCCGGGAGGUGCUCGAUACAAGGAAUCAACCAGGCAGGUCUACAAUGAGUUGCUGGAGCGGUGUCCUUUUUUGAGGCCACAUAUGUUGUUGCAUAUUCUGGCUGUUUUGGCUGGGCAACUUUUUUUUGCAGCACUGUUCAGCAUCGCGCCAACACACGGCUAAUCUAUGGCUUAAGGAGUACUUACUAAUCUUUCAUUUAUUCCUGCUAGGUGUAUGCAACAGUCUAUUUUUGUACGAUACUAUUGUCACUGCCAUUUUCUGAAAUACAAAGCAGACAACAUGCUUUUUUCAAGUGUUUAAACGACUAAGUAAACUGCUAAAACUACUAACCUACCAGGUGAUGCUCAAGCUGUCGACCUAUGGAACAUGGUGUUAUUUUGGAUCGUCCAUUCUACCAGCAAGUAUAGUUUUGCAUAUCGUUUCAUUUGUUGUAGAUAUAGUUAUAUCCGAAGAUCCAGAGCAGUACCAGUCUAUUAUCUAUGAGAAAAAAACUGUGCACUAUAUGUGUAUGGAAUUUGAUAAUCCCGUCAGUCCAUUUUAAUGUGUCAUCCUCUAUUGUUGUAGACGUGUAUGUAUUGAAAAACUAAGUCUCAUUGCAUCAGGGAAAAUUAUUUACUUUGGACUAUGAUAUUUUAUUAAUCACAAUGGUGCCAUGCUUUAUAUUCCUUAGAGAAUUGAACUUAUCACAAUUUUAUGAAUCAAUUCGAGAAUUCGCUUGCCAUGGAACUUAUUAUGGUCUUUUUAAUCAUUAUUUACAGGCAAGUGUGAGAUGCUCAAUAUUAGGUAACAUAUCUUCAGAUCAACUCCAGUGAAUAAUGUUUUUCUUAUUUUGUUUCAUAUGUAAUAAGUGAAGAAGGGUAUGGCAAAAUAGUGGAUACAUUGUCUACAGAUAAGCUUAGCUGAAAUAGUUGUAGUUUGCAGGGUAGGAACAACCGGGAAUUACCACUGACGUAUGCCAUUGAGUUCUCAUACAUUAGAAAUAGCUACCACAGUCCAACUUCA